Molecule: unclassified non-coding RNA, 279 nt
Filed under: plant metagenome
Description: partial contains small subunit ribosomal RNA, internal transcribed spacer 1, and 5.8S ribosomal RNA
Source: RNAcentral
UUUCCGUAGGUGAACCUGCGGAAGGAUCAUUAUCGCAUAACCGAGGUGAGAGGCCUGUUGAUGAUUAGACAGGUCGUGCACGCCCGAGUGCGCUUACUCUCAUCCAUCUCAUCCCUAUGUUUACCAUCGCGUGGGUCCCCCGUUGGCUUGCUUGGUGGGGCGCGUAUGUCUUAACUUAUAUUUUGUAUUUAGUGUAGAACGUCUCUUUUGUUUUUCCGAUCCCGCAACCAAUACAAUUUUCAACAACGGAUCGGUUGGCACUCGCAUUGAAGUAGAACG